RNAcentral lists this ribosomal RNA (468 nucleotides) under uncultured bacterium. RNAcentral's name for it is "partial 16S ribosomal RNA". It matches the Rfam family "Bacterial small subunit ribosomal RNA", at positions 28 to 507 of the family's 1533-position model. The record is from RNAcentral.
GACGAACGCUGGCGGCGUGCUUAACACAUGCAAGUCGAACGGAAAGGCCCUGCUUUUGUGGGGUGCUCGAGUGGCGAACGGGUGAGUAACACGUGAGUAACCUGCCCUUGACUUUGGGAUAACUUCAGGAAACUGGGGCUAAUCCCGUAUAGGAUCCCCUGUGCCAGGGUGGGGGUGGGAAAUUUUCGGCGGUAGGGGUUGGAUGCGCGGCUUAUCGGCUUGUUGGUGGGGUAGGGGCUUACCAAGCCUUGGACGGGUACCCGGCAUGAGAGGGUGAACGGCCACAUUGGGACUGAGAUACGGCCCAGACUCCUACGGGAGGCAGCAGUGGGGAAUAUUGCACAAUGGGCGGAAGCCGGAUGAAGAGACGCCGCGUGCGGGAUGACGGCCUUCGGGUUGUAAACCGCUUUAGCCUGUGACGAAGCGUGAGUGACGGUAAUGAGUAAAGAAGCACCGGCUAACUACGUG